UCUGAAGGGAAGAUUAAUACAAGAUGGCAUCAUGAGUCCGCAUGUUCACAUGAUUAAAGGUAUUCCGGUAGACGAUGGGGAUGCGUUCCAUUAGAUAGUAGGCGGGGUAACGGCCCACCUAGUCUUCGAUGGAUAGGGGUUCUGAGAGGAAGGUCCCCCACAUUGGAACUGAGACACGGUCCAAACUCCUACGGGAGGCAGCAGUGAGGAAUAUUGGUCAAUGGGCGAGAGUCUGAACCAGCCAAGUAGCGUGAAGGAUGACUGCCCUAUGGGUUGUAAACUUCUUUUAUAAAGGAAUAAAGUCGGGUAUGCAUACCCGUUUGCAUGUACUUUAUGAAUAAGGAUCGGCUAACUCCGUGCCAGCAGCCGCGGUAAUACGGAGGAUCCGAGCGUUAUCCGGAUUUAUUGGGUUUAAAGGGAGCGUAGAUGGAUGUUUAAGUCAGUUGUGAAAGUUUGCGGCUCAACCGUAAAAUUGCAGUUGAUACUGGAUAUCUUGAGUGCAGUUGAGGCAGGCGGAAUUCGUGGUGUAGCGGUGAAAUGCUUAGAUAUCACGAAGAACUCCGAUUGCGAAGGCAGCCUGCUAAGCUGCAACUGACAUUGAGGCUCGAAAGUGUGGGUAUCAAACAGGAUUAGAUACCCUGGUAGUCCACACGGUAAACGAUGAAUACUCGCUGUUUGCGAUAUACAGCAAGCGGCCAAGCGAAAGCGUUAAGUAUUCCACCUGGGGAG
This 729-nucleotide ribosomal RNA is filed under the name uncultured bacterium. RNAcentral describes it as "bacterial SSU rRNA". It matches the Rfam family "Bacterial small subunit ribosomal RNA", at positions 150 to 880 of the family's 1533-position model. The record is from RNAcentral.